GUGCGUAACACGUAUGCAACCUACCUAUCAUUGGGGGAUAGCCUUUGGAAACGGAGAUUAAUACCGCAUAAGACAGUAACAUGGCAUCAUGUAGCUGUUAAAGCUUUGGCGAUGAUAGAUGGGCAUGCGUCCAAUUAGUUAGUUGGUGAGGUAACGGCUCACCAAGACGAUGAUUGGUAGGGGAUCUGAGAGGAUAAUCCCCCACACUGGCACUGAGAUACGGGCCAGACUCCUACGGGAGGCAGCAGUAGGGAAUAUUGGGCAAUGGACGGAAGUCUGACCCAGCCAUGCCGCGUGCAGGAAGAAGGCGUUAUGCGUUGUAAACUGCUUUUUUAUAGGAAGAAGGAGACCUUGCGAGGUUUGGUGACGGUACUAUAAGAAUAAGCACCGGCUAACUCCGUGCCAGCAGCCGCGGUAAUACGGAGGGUGCGAGCGUUGUCCGGAUUUAUUGGGUUUAAAGGGUGCGUAGGCGGUUUAUUAAGUCAGUGGUGAAAGACGGUCGCUCAACGAUUGCAGUGCCAUUGAUACUGGUAGACUUGAGUUCGUAUGAG
This 551-nucleotide ribosomal RNA is filed under the name Flectobacillus roseus. Its description in RNAcentral is "bacterial SSU rRNA". It matches the Rfam family "Bacterial small subunit ribosomal RNA", at positions 106 to 656 of the family's 1533-position model. The record is from RNAcentral. Lineage: Bacteria; Pseudomonadati; Bacteroidota; Cytophagia; Cytophagales; Flectobacillaceae.